GAAACGGUUCUUUUCAGGACCACCAAAAUAAAAAUUAAUAACGCUAU
This is a non-coding RNA of Acyrthosiphon pisum (pea aphid), 47 nucleotides long. The record is from Rfam. Lineage: Eukaryota; Metazoa; Arthropoda; Insecta; Hemiptera; Aphididae.